UCCAUUUAGAAUCCCACUAUUCGAUGAAACGGUUGAUAACACAAUGACAUUUGACAUGAUUUUGGUUAAUAAUUAUAAAUUAUUAAUGAUAAUUAACUAAUGGUAAUUAUUAAGUGCUGUGAGCCCAAUAGUCACACCACCAGAGUGUAUCUCUGAUAUUUGUAGGAAAUGAUUUUUGGUUAGAAUUUAUUUCUGCUAAUUAUGAUUUUUUAUUAGAAUUUUUGAGGACACCAUGUCUCUUGACUAGGAUUUGCUCAAUUCUACUCCAGAAGAAUAAUAGUAAUCUUUCUGCGGUGUUUUGUGGAUGAAAAGUGGCUUGUUUUGGUGUAUUUCAUAGCAUGAAACCAGAUUUAAUUUUGCAGCUGAUCAUAAUUGAACUCCCUGUGUUCUAACAGCUGCUGGAGUAAUCAGUUUGGGUUACCAUAGAUACCAAAUUCCUACAACCUCUGAUGUCCAUUGAAUGUAACUACAGCUGGAACUAAUACUCUCAGUCGAGGAGAUAGCACCACCCCCAUCUGGUUGUCAUUGGAUGCAAUUGCAAUUGCAGCUGGAUUUUCCCCAGUGUGAGAAAGGCGAUUGGUGCCCUCUGGUGUUGACUGAGUCCAAAUUCACUUCAUGGCUGGGGUCCCAAAAAAGGAAGUUGGCAGAGAGAUCAGGAGACAGACGGAACAUGAUUGACUGAGCUGCAACAUACAGAAACAAGAAGCUGUGCCCAGUCGAGUCAGCAAACAGACAUCAGAGUGAGGGGACCACUGCCACAUUCCAAGGCAGUGCCAGGAGAGAGAAAGCUAGUCAAUUUUAGUGUGACGUUCCAUGUUGAACAACUGAAUGUCAAGAAAUACCCUGUUUGCAGUGCCUGAGAGAGGGAAAUGUGGGAAUUGCACCUGCUAAGAUUCAAACUCCAUUCCUAGCUAUUGCAGCCCAAUCACCGCCCGCAGCCAUGAACACCUGUGCUGCAAGAGAGAUAAAGCUAUGCCUGGCCUACUGUGAUGAGAUCCCCAAGCCCAACACAAAGGACAUUGCACCAGUGUUUCCCAGUCUCGAAAGAUGUUGAUAAGUAGGGCCCAAAGUAGGACACCAUCCAGCAACGUGGAUAAGCCAGCCAAUACCUCCCUUCCACAAGACCACAUUCAGGCCAAAAUGACAGCUGUGGGUCAAGACUUUUCCCAACAGCUGAAUUGGGGGACAGAAGUAUACAAGUCACACCUGCUGAGGUCAGAAUUGGUUCGGAGAGAGAAGUGACUCAACAGCUGAUUUUGGACAACAAGUUAGGCAUCCUCGUAACAGUUCUGUCAUGGUGGUUCAGUGGCUUUAGGUUCUUUCCUCCUUUUCUCUCAAAUUCACUUUGGGCAAUAUGUUAGGCAAGUUAUGUGUGAAGACCUUUGUUUAAACUUUAAACCUUUGACUAAAAGAUAAGGCUUUAACUCAGUUCUGCAUAAUAUCUACAAUAUGCUGCUGUGUGAUGUAAAUAUUCUCCUUCUGUGCAUGUGGGUCCCUUUGUGAUAAUAAACAGUUCAGACUGACAUGGGAUGGUGUUUGCAAUUAAUUAGUAGUGCGAACAAUCAGCAAAAAAUCUGAAUUGAGCAUCAAGACCUAUUGUCUUAACGUAGCCUGAGAGUUCAUCAGAAACUUUUAAUCUGAUGCUUCACAUGGAGGCAAAUUGAUUUUCAUACCUUCUUUUUUAUCUCCACAGCCACAUAACCACAACUAGAACUACAAGAACCAGAAAAAAACAGAUAAGACACAGAUACAAUAACCCGAAUGAGAGAAGGAGGAGAGGUGCUGUAUGCUUAAAGAGUAGAACUAGAGCUGCAAUGCUGUUGUAGGAGGAUCUGUAGGAGAUACAACUUAGUCUGUUGGUCUUAAGUAUUUACAAAUAGCCUUUCGCCAGUGAUCAAUUUAUCAUUAGUGUAUGUCUGUAAACAUGAGGGGAUGUCCUGCAAUCUUAACCUCAGUAGGCCUUGGGGAGUUGAUCCAAACUCAUUGGUAGAAACCUUCAUCAGACCUCUGGACUUUAUGAAUGAUCAGCUCUGGUUUACGUUCAGAUCCAAUGAGACUUUGAUUGAAAAAGGAUGCAGCAACAGUGUACUGAUCUUUCUAUCUGCAACUCAGUGUGACAUCCCUCCAUGUUAUCACAGGAAGUGCAGGAAUUUGCAAGAUCAGAAAAGGUUUACAAAAUCGUCAUUGCCACAAUAAUGCACACCUAUGCUAUCAAUAGUUUGGGAGCAACUGCUGUUAAUGAACAUGCCAAAAAUAAAUUACAUCUGUAGGAAUCUUUCCUCAUUGCUCAUCUAUUGGGUGAAAAUAAGCAUAUACAAUCAUGUGUUUUUUCUUUUUUGUUUCCUCUGCACAUUAGGUUUUUGGAACAUAUUUAUGUGUCUACACAUGAAAAAUAGAGUCAAAUAAACUUUUGUAAACUUUAAAUGCUAUUAAUUUUCAAAGAAAUCGUUUAUCUAAUGCAAUAUUGUGUUAAAAAAAUAAUUUUUGUUUAUUUGAGGUAGCAUGUACAAGAGGCUACAAAAAACACAGUGGAUUUCUAUGCUUCAUAAAAUCUCUCCUGCAUGUGUUGCCGCUUGUUUUUGUUCAUUUUUCUGUUCAUGUUUUCAACUUUCCAAAGCUUCCACACAUUUCUGUUGCAUACUUGGGAAUUUAAAGACUUCUUCAUCUUGUCUUGUGGUCUAUGUUUUCCAUCACCUGAGCUACCGUGGAGUUUAUGGCACUCAAUUUUAAAUAACAAGCACUAAAUAUUUUAUUCUGAAUUCUCCUGCUGUCAUUUUUGCACAUUGUAAAUCCUUAAUUUCAGUCUGUCUGCUAGAAAUCUUGGACAAAGACACAUCAGAAUCCUGUUGAUGCGUCAUAAAGUUGAGCUCACAGCUGUAAAACAUAUACUGAGCAAAUAGAAAAUAUGAGAAUUGAAUUUGUGCAAAUCAUUUUGAACCUGUCUAUAUGAUUGGACUGUUUGUACUGAUUAUGGAAUUUGAUGUGAUUCUAUGUUUUGUAUAUAUAUUUGGUCUGUUUGUAAAGUGUCUUGAGAUGACAUGUCUUGUGAAUUGGUGCUGUACAAAUAAAAUGAAUUGAACUGAA
This is a long non-coding RNA of Girardinichthys multiradiatus, 3084 nucleotides long. RefSeq lists it as uncharacterized. The record is from RefSeq and is a predicted model, not a curated record. The transcript is spliced from 5 exons. NCBI's taxonomy places the organism in Eukaryota, Metazoa, Chordata, Actinopteri, Cyprinodontiformes, Goodeidae.